UACGAAGGGGGCUAGCGUUGCUCGGAAUCACUGGGCGUAAAGGGUGCGUAGGCGGGUCUUUAAGUCAGGGGUGAAAUCCUGGAGCUCAACUCCAGAACUGCCUUUGAUACUGAAGAUCUUGAGUUCGGGAGAGGUGAGUGGAACUGCGAGUGUAGAGGUGAAAUUCGUAGAUAUUCGCAAGAACACCAGUGGCCAAGGCGGCUCACUGGCCCGAUACUGACGCUGAGGCACGAAAGCGUGGGGAGCAAACAGG
RNAcentral lists this ribosomal RNA (253 nucleotides) under uncultured bacterium. RNAcentral describes it as "partial 16S ribosomal RNA". It matches the Rfam family "Bacterial small subunit ribosomal RNA", at positions 524 to 776 of the family's 1533-position model. The record is from RNAcentral.